This 1206-nucleotide ribosomal RNA is filed under the name Staphylococcus aureus. Its description in RNAcentral is "partial 23S ribosomal RNA". It matches the Rfam family "Bacterial large subunit ribosomal RNA", at positions 12 to 1215 of the family's 2925-position model. Lineage: Bacteria; Bacillati; Bacillota; Bacilli; Caryophanales; Staphylococcaceae. The record is from RNAcentral.
UAAGGGCGCACGGUGGAUGCCUUGGCACUAGAAGCCGAUGAAGGACGUUACUAACGACGAUAUGCUUUGGGGAGCUGUAAGUAAGCUUUGAUCCAGAGAUUUCCGAAUGGGGAAACCCAGCAUGAGUUAUGUCAUGUUAUCGAUAUGUGAAUACAUAGCAUAUCAGAAGGCACACCCGGAGAACUGAAACAUCUUAGUACCCGGAGGAAGAGAAAGAAAAUUCGAUUCCCUUAGUAGCGGCGAGCGAAACGGGAAGAGCCCAAACCAACAAGCUUGCUUGUUGGGGUUGUAGGACACUCUAUACGGAGUUACAAAGGACGACAUUAGACGAAUCAUCUGGAAAGAUGAAUCAAAGAAGGUAAUAAUCCUGUAGUCGAAAAUGUUGUCUCUCUUGAGUGGAUCCUGAGUACGACGGAGCACGUGAAAUUCCGUCGGAAUCUGGGAGGACCAUCUCCUAAGGCUAAAUACUCUCUAGUGACCGAUAGUGAACCAGUACCGUGAGGGAAAGGUGAAAAGCACCCCGGAAGGGGAGUGAAAUAGAACCUGAAACCGUGUGCUUACAAGUAGUCAGAGCCCGUUAAUGGGUGAUGGCGUGCCUUUUGUAGAAUGAACCGGCGAGUUACGAUUUGAUGCAAGGUUAAGCAGUAAAUGUGGAGCCGUAGCGAAAGCGAGUCUGAAUAGGGCGUUUAGUAUUUGGUCGUAGACCCGAAACCAGGUGAUCUACCCUUGGUCAGGUUGAAGUUCAGGUAACACUGAAUGGAGGACCGAACCGACUUACGUUGAAAAGUGAGCGGAUGAACUGAGGGUAGCGGAGAAAUUCCAAUCGAACCUGGAGAUAGCUGGUUCUCUCCGAAAUAGCUUUAGGGCUAGCCUCAAGUGAUGAUUAUUGGAGGUAGAGCACUGUUUGGACGAGGGGCCCCUCUCGGGUUACCGAAUUCAGACAAACUCCGAAUGCCAAUUAAUUUAACUUGGGAGUCAGAACAUGGGUGAUAAGGUCCGUGUUCGAAAGGGAAACAGCCCAGACCACCAGCUAAGGUCCCAAAAUAUAUGUUAAGUGGAAAAGGAUGUGGCGUUGCCCAGACAACUAGGAUGUUGGCUUAGAAGCAGCCAUCAUUUAAAGAGUGCGUAAUAGCUCACUAGUCGAGUGACACUGCGCCGAAAAUGUACCGGGGCUAAACAUAUUACCGAAGCUGUGGAUUGUCCUUU